UGUCUACUCUCUCCGUCCAAAAAUACUUGUCGGAGAAAUGAGUGUACCUAGAUGUAUUUUAGUUCUAGAUAGACCCAUUUUUAUCUAUUUCUCCGGCAAGUAUUUCCGGACGGAGGGAGUAUAUA
This is a non-coding RNA of Triticum aestivum (bread wheat), 125 nucleotides long. NCBI's taxonomy places the organism in Eukaryota, Viridiplantae, Streptophyta, Magnoliopsida, Poales, Poaceae. The record is from Rfam.